Molecule: ribosomal RNA, 247 nt
Filed under: uncultured bacterium
Lineage: Bacteria
Description: partial 16S ribosomal RNA
Rfam family: Bacterial small subunit ribosomal RNA
Source: RNAcentral
AUACGUAGGUGGCAAGCGUUGUCCGGAUUUACUGGGUGUAAAGGGCGCGUAGGCGGGAUAGCAAGUCAGAUGUGAAAUGCCAGGGCUUAACUCUGGAGCUGCAUUUGAAACUGUUAUUCUUGAGUAUCGGAGAGGCAGGCGGAAUUCCUAGUGUAGCGGUGAAAUGCGUAGAUAUUAGGAGGAACACCAGUGGCGAAGGCGGCCUGCUGGACGACAACUGACGCUGAUGCGCGAAAGCGUGGGGAGC